AAACCAAAGCUGGCGACCGGCGCACGGGUGAGUAACACGUAUCCAACCUGCCUCAUACUCGGGGAUAGCCUUUCGAAAGAAAGAUUAAUAUCGAUAGCAUAUAUUUCCCGCAUGGGUUUUAUAUUAAAGAAAUUCGGUAUGAGAUGGGGAUGCGUUCCAUUAGUUUGUUGGGGGGGUAACGGCCCACCAAGACUACGAUGGAUAGGGGUUCUGAGAGGAAGGUCCCCCACAUUGGAACUGAGACACGGUCCAA
RNAcentral lists this ribosomal RNA (253 nucleotides) under uncultured bacterium. RNAcentral's name for it is "partial 16S ribosomal RNA". It matches the Rfam family "Bacterial small subunit ribosomal RNA", at positions 79 to 334 of the family's 1533-position model. The record is from RNAcentral.